GACGAACGCUGGCGGCGCGCUUAACACAUGCAAGUCGAGCGAGAACCAGCCCUUCGGGGCUGGGGAGAGCGGCGAACGGGUGAGUAACACGUGGGUAAUCAACCCUCGGUACUGGGAUAGCCCGGGGAAACCCGGAUUAAUACCGGAUGGCCCUUCGAAUCCUCGGAUUUGAAGGAAAAGGUAGCUUCGGCCUCCGACCGAGGACGAGCCCGCGGCGGAUUAGCUUGUUGGUGGGGUAACGGCCUACCAAGGCGACGAUCGGUAGCUGGUCUGAGAGGACGAUCAGCCACACUGGGACUGAGACACGGCCCAGACUUCUACGGAAGGCAGCAGUGGGGAAUCUUGCGCUAAUGCGGGAAACCGUGACGCAGCGACGCCGCGUGGGGGAAGAAGGCCUUCGGGUUGUAAACCUCUUUCAGGAGGGACGAAGCUACUCGGGUUAAUAGCCCAGAGGGUGACGGUACCUCCAGAAGAAGCCCCGGCUAACUACAUGCCAGCCGCCGCGGUAA
Molecule: ribosomal RNA, 509 nt
Filed under: uncultured bacterium
Lineage: Bacteria
Description: partial 16S ribosomal RNA
Rfam family: Bacterial small subunit ribosomal RNA
Source: RNAcentral